Passer domesticus (house sparrow) is the source of this 2079-nucleotide long non-coding RNA. RefSeq lists it as uncharacterized. The record is from RefSeq and is a predicted model, not a curated record. The transcript has 3 exons. Lineage: Eukaryota; Metazoa; Chordata; Aves; Passeriformes; Passeridae.
GUGAGCCUAGAGAGACAAGAGGCCAGGAACCGCCAAUCCUUUGCGUAACAAAGGGUGCAAAGGCUACUGGCCAGGUAGUGAAUGGCAGGUGAAUGGGCACUGAGAGACACAGCAGGAGGUAAAGACUCAAGAAGAUCAAGACUUUCCCACAGAAAAAAAAUGGGACAUAUUGCACUUGGGAAAAUAUUCUUGCUACACCUGUUUUUGAUGACAAUGUACAAGAGAGAUGGAAAGUCAUUCUAGUGCCCGGGAUCCUGAGCUCACCUCUCCCUGCCCUGCUGGGAGCUGAGUUGUGGCUGCCCCACCCCCCACCGCUUCUUCAGCACUGCUGUGGGUUUCUCUACACUGUAGCCCUGCACCCGCUGCCCAGCUGGGACAUCCUGGAGUUCCAGCUACCACCACAGAGCUUCUGAUACAUCUUGUCUACCACCCUGCGAUUUUUGCUCAUUCCUGCUGCUCCACUUUGGUGCUCCUAUGAGUUCUGCUGUGCCACUGAGAUGGACUGCGGCAGGGUUUUGUAAAGCAAAUCCUCUCUUCCAUCCCUUCCCGUCUCAGGCAAGCCGCCAUUACCCUGUGCUACUCACACUCGCCCUCUGCAGCUCCAAGGCAAUCAUCGCACCUGCCCUGCCCUGCCCACCGGGAGCCACCAGCGCCCCUGCCGGCUGUGACCAUCACUACACCAAGAAGGCUGGGCUCGUGGUUCUGUUUGUUGUUAAUGCCGCAAUUGUUAUCGGUUAUUUGCUUUGUUAUACAUACUAGUAAAGAACUGCCAUUCAUAUUCUCAUAUCUUUGCCUGAGGGUCCCUUAAUUUCAAAAUCCUAAAAAUUUUGAGGGAGGGGCUUUACAUUUUCCAUUCCAAGGGAGGCUCCUGCCUUCCCUAGAAGACACCUGUCUUUCAAAGUAAGACAUGUUGCUAAAGGUACAAUGAGUAAGACCUGACAUUUCUGUGGAUAUUAACUAUUUAUUUAAAAGCAUUAACAGGAAGUGACUCUUGGAUUUAUAAAUAUGCAUAUAAGUUCCAGAAUCCAGAAGGAACCCCCUCACAAUGUCAUAAUUAAGUUAAUAAAGACAGAAAAAAUAAAUUUGAGUAAUGUCUGGUUCUGGAUAGUAUGACAGCCUCCACUCUACUGAGACAAGGCAAAUCUACUACAGCAGUAGCUUUGAAACCACACUUGUUUUGAUGUUCUGUUCCAAUAAACUUAUUUACAAUACAUAUAUAAAGAAUGUGUAGGAAAGGCAUCUUAUAGCUACAAGAGAUCCCAUCUUUACGCAUACUUCCACAAACAAACCUUGUCUUGUACAUUAAGUUAGACCAAACCCACUGGGUAGGCAGUGUAAGAAGUCCACUCACUCCUAUGAAGGUGGGCUCAUUCCUUAAUAUAUUAGUUAAUUCUUGUAUUUCCAGGAUCAUUUUAUUCAAGUAUCACAGUAUGAAAAAAAAAAAAAAAACAAUCUGCCUGGCAAUUGAAACUUCACAUCAGGAUAGCAUUAAUUUUAAUACAUCAAAUUACAAGAAACUGUUGAAAAACUCAGACUGGAAAGUCCCAGGCCAAACCAUACACUUCAAGACUGAAACUGAUUUUAAUUCCAAGAACAGACAGCUGAAAAAGACCAUUUUCAUAGAUUAAUAAUUUUACCUUGGUAUUACAUAUCUGGAAGAAAUAUACAUUUCAUUGGUUAUGCAUUGAUCAAACUUUUAUUGUGCCAGCUGUACUUCAUAGACCUGAGAAAGUGAUUCAAGCAAAACAAAAGAGAAUAUAAAAGCAUAAGUCUAAUAGUUUUAAAUCCCAAAGAGGCAAUUACAAGUUUGAUUUGAUUCAUGUGUCUGGACUACAUUGGAAACCUAACCACUUUACCCAUAUUAAGUACAUGUGAAGGCUUACACUAGGACUGUGAAUAAUAAAUCCAUCCUGCACUUUUAUUUGUGAAGUGCCACUCUUUUAAUAAGCUGGGAAAUACAGCAAUAAAAUUUUCACACUAAUUAAUAUGUAAAAGGUAGUUUAACAGAGCUGAAAUGUGUUAAAACAUCUCUUUUUAAAUUAUAAAAGUAAGCUGAGCAAUAACUAAUAAUUUAAAUAA